Molecule: long non-coding RNA, 385 nt
Organism: Ornithodoros turicata
Lineage: Eukaryota; Metazoa; Arthropoda; Arachnida; Ixodida; Argasidae
Exons: 2
Source: RefSeq, a predicted model, not a curated record
AGAGUAUGCCUUCAUGUUUCAUUCAUUUUAUAGCUUUGCAGUUAUAUAUUAUCAUACACUGCAGCCUCUUUAGUCCACAGAUAUCCAUGCUUAAUUCAAACACACUGCAGUGUGCAGUGGCAGUACACUGGGAAGUGUUCAGCUCUUGCAGCAAUGCUGGCUGCCUGACUGAUUGCCUAUUCACCUCCUCGCCUUCACUUCAUCUACUACACUGCCUUGGCAGAUGUGAGCACAAAUGUGGGCCUACCGCAGGUACAUCAAGCUGCACCCGAGCGAACAGGCAGCAAAGGAGAGGAGCCAACUGGCCAACAAAUACAUUGGACAGAUGCUGGGAGACAUGAUGAGGAAAAAAAAGUAGAAAUAUAUAUCAUAUGCAUCUGUUCCA